RNAcentral lists this ribosomal RNA (229 nucleotides) under uncultured bacterium. RNAcentral describes it as "partial 16S ribosomal RNA". It matches the Rfam family "Bacterial small subunit ribosomal RNA", at positions 568 to 796 of the family's 1533-position model. The record is from RNAcentral.
UCCGUAGGCGGGCUAAUAAGUCAGGGGUGAAAUCCCACAGCUCAACUGUGGAACUGCCUUUGAUACUGUUAGUCUUGAGUUAUAUGGAAGUAGAUAGAAUGUGUAGUGUAGCGGUGAAAUGCAUAGAGAUUACACAGAAUACCGAUUGCGAAGGCAGUCUACUACGUAUAUACUGACGCUAAUGGACGAAAGCGUGGGGAGCGAACAGGAUUAGAUGCCCUGGUAGUCC